RNAcentral lists this ribosomal RNA (447 nucleotides) under uncultured bacterium. Its description in RNAcentral is "partial 16S ribosomal RNA". It matches the Rfam family "Bacterial small subunit ribosomal RNA", at positions 29 to 523 of the family's 1533-position model. The record is from RNAcentral.
AACGAACGCUGGCGGCAGGCUAAACACAUGCAAGUCGAACGCCCCGCAAGGGGAGUGGCAGACGGGUGAGUAACACGUGGGAACAUGCCCAAAGGUACGGAACAACUCCGGGAAACUGGAGCUAAUACCGUAUGUGCCCGAAAGGGGAAAGAUUUAUCGCCUUUGGAUUGGCCCGCGUCGGAUUAGCUAGUUGGUGGGGUAUAAGCCUACCAAGGCGACGAUCCGUAGCUGGUUUGAGAGAACGACCAGCCACACUGGGACUGAGACACGGCCCAGACUCCUACGGGAGGCAGCAGUGGGGAAUCUUGGACAAUGGGCGCAAGCCUGAUCCAGCCAUGCCGCGUGGAUGAUGAAGGCCUUAGGGUUGUAAAAUCCUUUCGUUGGGGACGAUAAUGACGGUACCCAAAGAAGAAGCCCCGGCUAACUUCGUGCCAGCCGCCGCCGUAA